This 253-nucleotide ribosomal RNA is filed under the name uncultured bacterium. Its description in RNAcentral is "partial 16S ribosomal RNA". It matches the Rfam family "Bacterial small subunit ribosomal RNA", at positions 524 to 776 of the family's 1533-position model. The record is from RNAcentral.
UACGGAGGGGGCUAGCGUUGUUCGGAAUUACUGGGCGUAAAGCGCGCGUAGGCGGCUAUUCAAGUCAGAGGUGAAAGCCUGGAGCUCAACUCCAGAACUGCCUUUGAAACUGGAUAGCUAGAAUCAUGGAGAGGUCAGUGGAAUUCCGAGUGUAGAGGUGAAAUUCGUAGAUAUUCGGAAGAACACCAGUGGCGAAGGCGACUGACUGGACAUGUAUUGACGCUGAGGUGCGAAAGCGUGGGGAGCAAACAGG